UACGGAAGGCAGCAGUGGGGAAUAUUGCACAAUGGGCGCAAGCCUGAUGCAGCCAUGCCGCGUGUAUGAAGAAGGCCUUCGGGUUGUAAAGUACUUUCAGUCGUGAGGAAGGUGUUAAGGUUAAUAACCUUAGCAAUUGACGUUAGCGACAGAAGAAGCACCGGCUAACUCCGUGCCAGCAGCCGCGGUAAUACGGAGGGUGCGAGCGUUAAUCGGAAUUACUGGGCUAAAGGGCACGCAGGCGGUUAAUUAAGUUGGAUGUGAAAUCCCCGGGCUUAACCUGGGAAUGGCAUUCAAGACUGGUUAGCUAGAGUCUUGUAGAGGGGGUAGAAUUCCAUGUGUAGCGGUGAAAUGCGUAGAGAUGUGGAGGAAUACCGGUGGCGAAGGCGGCCCCUGGCAAAGACUGACGCUCAUGUGCGAAAGCGUGGGGAGCGAAACAGGGAUUAGAUACC
Molecule: ribosomal RNA, 452 nt
Filed under: uncultured bacterium
Lineage: Bacteria
Description: bacterial SSU rRNA
Rfam family: Bacterial small subunit ribosomal RNA
Source: RNAcentral